This 332-nucleotide long non-coding RNA is filed under the name Helianthus annuus (common sunflower). Its description in RNAcentral is "hypothetical non coding rna". Lineage: Eukaryota; Viridiplantae; Streptophyta; Magnoliopsida; Asterales; Asteraceae. The record is from RNAcentral.
UAUUCAAUAACCAAUACAGAUUUAUAAAUUAUGUUAAGAAUGCCUUUUCAAUUAUGCUUAAUGAGAUAAGUUGACAGACAAUAUGUAUUGUGUUAUUCUAUCUACCCUAAUCAAUACGGGUUGCAAAAUAGUUCGGUCGGGCAAGAUGGAUAACAGGUCGAUUUAAGUUAUUUAUGCUAUUUUCAGAAUGGGUUGAGCCGACCCCAAUAUUUUAUCUUCAGAAGAUCUUCCAGAUAAAUGGGACAAUUUUUAGCUAAACGGGUCGAUUAAAGAACAUUUGUGGUUUACGUCACGCUAUUGCCUCUACAUCACGCCAGAAUCCUUCUUCGAAG